This 73-nucleotide transfer RNA is filed under the name Alosa alosa (allis shad). RNAcentral's name for it is "tRNA-OTHER". Lineage: Eukaryota; Metazoa; Chordata; Actinopteri; Clupeiformes; Clupeidae. The record is from RNAcentral.
UGUGGUAGCACAGUGGUUAGGGGAGUGAGCUCUGACCCCAAGGAUUGUUGGUUCAAAUCCAGGCUCAGCACAA